This is a long non-coding RNA of Carica papaya (papaya), 301 nucleotides long. RefSeq lists it as uncharacterized. Lineage: Eukaryota; Viridiplantae; Streptophyta; Magnoliopsida; Brassicales; Caricaceae. The record is from RefSeq and is a predicted model, not a curated record.
CCACCCGUUUGGCUUUGUCAUCACUCUUCCCCUCCUGGCUAUGGUCGCCGUGAGAGGUUUCGCCCGGUUGACGAAACGAUUAUCCAGAUUCAGGAGGAGGAGAUUUUAUGUAUUUUUCCAGCUCCAGGUAGCAAGCCCUAGAUUGGAUGAUAUCUGAUACACACGCAAAUACACAAAUUUCUCCAUCAUGUGCUUACUAUUAUAUAUGUGAUACUAUAUGCUGUAACAAAUCGAGAAUAAAGUUGAUGAGAGGACUUAAUUAAUUUGCCUCACGGUAUAAGCUUCAUGGUCUCCAGUUCAA